CCUACGGGUGGCAGCAGUGAGGAAUAUUGGUCAAUGGACGAGAGUCUGACCCAGCCAAGUAGCGUGAAGGAUGACUGCCCUAUGGGUUGUAAACAUCUUUUAUAUGGGAAUAAAAUGUUCCACGUGUGGGAGUUAGUAUGUACCAUAUGAAUAAGGAUCGGCGAACUCCGUGCCAGCAGCUGCGGUAAUACGGAGGAUCCGAGCGUUAUCCGGAUUUAUUGGGUUUAAAGGGAGCGUAGGUGGAUUGUUAAGUCAGUUGUGAAAGUUUGCGGCUCAACCGUAAAAUUGCAGUUGAAACUGGCAGUCUUGAGUACAGUAGAGGUGGGCGGAAUUCGUGGUGUAGCGGUGAAAUGCUUAGAUAUCACGAAGAACUCCGAUUGCGAAGGCAGCUCACUGGACUGCAACUGACACUGAGGCUCGAAAGUGUGGGUAUCAAACAGGAUUAGAUACCCCAGUAGUC
This 460-nucleotide ribosomal RNA is filed under the name uncultured bacterium. RNAcentral describes it as "partial 16S ribosomal RNA". It matches the Rfam family "Bacterial small subunit ribosomal RNA", at positions 338 to 795 of the family's 1533-position model. The record is from RNAcentral.